Molecule: ribosomal RNA, 278 nt
Filed under: uncultured bacterium
Lineage: Bacteria
Description: partial 16S ribosomal RNA
Rfam family: Bacterial small subunit ribosomal RNA
Source: RNAcentral
CGGAAAAGGGAAAGGCUUAGUGGCGGACGGGUGAGUAACGCGUGGGUAACCUGGCCCAUACAGGGGGAUAACACUUAGAAAUAGGUGCUAAUACCGCAUAACAACAGAAAGCGCAUGCUUUUUGUUUUGAAAACCAAGGUGGUAUGGGAUGGACCCGCGUCUGAUUAGCUGGUUGGCGGGGUAAAGGCCCACCAAGGCGACGAUCAGUAGCCGGCCUGAGAGGGUGAACGGCCACAUUGGGACUGAGACACGGCCCAAACUCCUACGGAAGGCAGCAG